Molecule: ribosomal RNA, 1280 nt
Filed under: Staphylococcus aureus
Lineage: Bacteria; Bacillati; Bacillota; Bacilli; Caryophanales; Staphylococcaceae
Description: bacterial SSU rRNA
Rfam family: Bacterial small subunit ribosomal RNA
Source: RNAcentral
GCUUGCUUCUCUGAUGUUAGCGGCGGACGGGUGAGUAACACGUGGAUAACCUACCUAUAAGACUGGGAUAACUUCGGGAAACCGGAGCUAAUACCGGAUAAUAUUUUGAACCGCAUGGUUCAAAAGUGAAAGACGGUCUUGCUGUCACUUAUAGAUGGAUCCGCGCUGCAUUAGCUAGUUGGUAAGGUAACGGCUUACCAAGGCAACGAUGCAUAGCCGACCUGAGAGGGUGAUCGGCCACACUGGAACUGAGACACGGUCCAGACUCCUACGGGAGGCAGCAGUAGGGAAUCUUCCGCAAUGGGCGAAAGCCUGACGGAGCAACGCCGCGUGAGUGAUGAAGGUCUUCGGAUCGUAAAACUCUGUUAUUAGGGAAGAACAUAUGUGUAAGUAACUGUGCACAUCUUGACGGUACCUAAUCAGAAAGCCACGGCUAACUACGUGCCAGCAGCCGCGGUAAUACGUAGGUGGCAAGCGUUAUCCGGAAUUAUUGGGCGUAAAGCGCGCGUAGGCGGUUUUUUAAGUCUGAUGUGAAAGCCCACGGCUCAACCGUGGAGGGUCAUUGGAAACUGGAAAACUUGAGUGCAGAAGAGGAAAGUGGAAUUCCAUGUGUAGCGGUGAAAUGCGCAGAGAUAUGGAGGAACACCAGUGGCGAAGGCGACUUUCUGGUCUGUAACUGACGCUGAUGUGCGAAAGCGUGGGGAUCAAACAGGAUUAGAUACCCUGGUAGUCCACGCCGUAAACGAUGAGUGCUAAGUGUUAGGGGGUUUCCGCCCCUUAGUGCUGCAGCUAACGCAUUAAGCACUCCGCCUGGGGAGUACGACCGCAAGGUUGAAACUCAAAGGAAUUGACGGGGACCCGCACAAGCGGUGGAGCAUGUGGUUUAAUUCGAAGCAACGCGAAGAACCUUACCAAAUCUUGACAUCCUUUGACAACUCUAGAGAUAGAGCCUUCCCCUUCGGGGGACAAAGUGACAGGUGGUGCAUGGUUGUCGUCAGCUCGUGUCGUGAGAUGUUGGGUUAAGUCCCGCAACGAGCGCAACCCUUAAGCUUAGUUGCCAUCAUUAAGUUGGGCACUCUAAGUUGACUGCCGGUGACAAACCGGAGGAAGGUGGGGAUGACGUCAAAUCAUCAUGCCCCUUAUGAUUUGGGCUACACACGUGCUACAAUGGACAAUACAAAGGGCAGCGAAACCGCGAGGUCAAGCAAAUCCCAUAAAGUUGUUCUCAGUUCGGAUUGUAGUCUGCAACUCGACUACAUGAAGCUGGAAUCGCUAGUAAU